Hippopotamus amphibius kiboko is the source of this 4591-nucleotide RNA transcript. It is a transcript of the gene named poly(ADP-ribose) glycohydrolase, with no coding region annotated. Lineage: Eukaryota; Metazoa; Chordata; Mammalia; Artiodactyla; Hippopotamidae. The record is from RefSeq and is a predicted model, not a curated record. The transcript has 16 exons.
AAGCGCCUGACGGCAGCUUUCCGGUGGUGGGAAAGUGAACGAAGCCGGAAUCAAAGCGGCGUAUCUUUGAGGCAGGUGGGGCGCCUGUGAAAGAGGGAAGGCAGGCGACUGGCUAGGGCCUGGCCCGAGAGUCCGGCAGAGCAGCAGCUGCAGAAGCAGGCAGCGGCAGAGAGGGCAUGGUGCCGGGAGGCGCCGUCCGUCCCUCCCAGGGUUAGUGAAUGAGGCUCUCCGCCCGGGCUAGCCCGGGGACUGUGCCCUGCGGGUCCCAGCAUGAGCGCGGGCCCCGGCUGUGAGCCCUGCACCAAGAGACCCCGCUGGGGCGCCGCUGCAACUUCUCCGCCGGCCGCCUCGGACGCCCGGAGCUUCAGCGGCAGGCAGAGGCGCGUCCUACAUUCCAAGGACGCUCCGGUGCAGUUCAGGGUCCCGCCGUCCUCGUCAGGCUGCCUCCCGGGGCGGGCGGGACCGCACAGAGGCAGCGCCACCUCGCUUGUUUUCAAACAAAAGACUAUUACCAGUUGGAUGGACACUAAAGGAAUCAAGACAGCUGAAUCAGAAAGUUUGCAUAGUAAAGAAAACAACAAUACAAGAGAAGAAUCCAUGAUGAGUUCUGUACAAAAAGAUAACUUUUAUCAACAUAACAUGGAAAAAUUAGAAAAUGUUUCUCAGCUAGGUUUUGAUAAAUCACCAGUUGAAAAAAGUACACAAUAUUUGAACCAGCAUCAGACUGCAGCUGUGUGUAAGUGGCAAAGUGAAGGGAAACAUUCAGAGCAGCUUUUGGAAAGUGAACCUCCAACAGUAACUCUGGUACCAGAGCAGUUCAGUAAUGCUAACGUUGAUCAGUCAUCCCAAAAUGAUGAUCACAGUGACACAAAUAGUGAGGAGAGUAGAGAUAAUCAACAAUUUUUGACACCUGUAAAGCUUGUGAAUGCAAAGCAGACAACAGAAGCUGAACAGGGCGUAGGAGCCAGAAGCCACCAGAAGUGCAGUAAGGCUUGCCAUCCUGCAGAAGACUGUGUGGGGUGUCAGCAGGAAGAGACAGAUGUGGUGCCAGAGAGCCCCUUGUCAGAUAUUGGCUCUGAGGAUGUUGGUACUGGACUGAAAAAUGCCAACAAAUUGAGUAGACGAGAAAGUAGCCUAGGAAAUUCUCCUCCAUUUGAGAAAGAAAGUGAACCCGAGUCACCAAUGGAUGUAGAUAAUUCCAAAAAUAGUUGUCAGGGCUCAGAAGCAGAUGAAGAGACCAGUCCAGGUUUUGAUGAACAGGAAGAUAGCAGUUCCACCCAAACAGCAAGUAAACCUUCAAGGUUCCAAGCGAGAGAAACUGACACUGAAUUGAGGAAACGGUCCUCUGCUAAGGGGGGUGAGAUUCGAUUACAUUUCCAAUUUGAAGGAGAGAGUCGCACUGGAAUGAAUGAUAUAAAUGUCAAACUACCUGGAAGUACUUCUAGCCUGAAUGUAGAGUGCAGAAAUUCUAAGCAACAUGGGAAAAAGGAUUCUAAAAUCACAGAUCAUUUCAUGAGAAUACCCAAAACAGAGGACAAAAGAAAAGAACAAUGUGAAAUCAAACAUCAAAGAACAGAAAGGAAGAUCCCUAAAUACAUUCCACCUCACCUUUCUCCAGAUAAGAAAUGGCUUGGAACUCCUAUUGAGGAGAUGAGAAGAAUGCCAAGGUGUGGGAUCCGGCUGCCUCCCUUGAGACCAUCUGCCAGUCACACAGUGACUAUUCGGGUAGAUCUUUUGCGAGCAGGAGAAGUUCCUAAACCUUUUCCGACACAUUUUAAAGAUUUGUGGGACAACAAGCAUGUUAAAAUGCCUUGCUCAGAACAAAACUUGUACCCUGUGGAAGAUGAGAACGGUGAGCGAACUGCAGGGAGCCGGUGGGAGCUCAUUCAGACUGCACUUCUCAACAAAUUCACUCGACCCCAAAACCUGAAGGAUGCUAUACUGAAAUACAAUGUGGCAUAUUCUAAGAAAUGGGACUUUACAGCUUUGGUUGAUUUCUGGGAUAAGGUACUAGAAGAAGCAGAAGCUCAACAUUUAUACCAGUCCAUUUUGCCUGAUAUGGUGAAAAUUGCACUCUGUCUGCCAAAUAUUUGCACCCAGCCAAUACCGCUCCUGAAACAGAAGAUGAAUCAUUCCAUCACAAUGUCACAGGAGCAGAUUGCCAGUCUUUUAGCUAAUGCUUUCUUCUGCACAUUUCCACGGCGCAAUGCUAAGAUGAAAUCGGAGUAUUCUAGUUAUCCAGAUAUUAACUUUAAUCGGUUGUUUGAAGGACGUUCAUCAAGGAAACCAGAGAAGCUUAAAACACUCUUCUGCUACUUUAGAAAAGUCACAGAGAAAAAACCUACUGGGUUGGUGACAUUUACAAGACAGUGUCUUGAAGAUUUUCCAGAGUGGGAAAGAUGUGAAAAACUCCUGACUAGAUUGCAUGUCACUUAUGAAGGUACCAUAGAAGGAAAUGGUCAAGGCAUGCUACAGGUGGAUUUUGCAAACCGUUUUGUUGGAGGUGGUGUAACCAGUGCAGGACUUGUGCAAGAAGAAAUCCGCUUUUUAAUCAACCCUGAGUUGAUUGUUUCACGGCUCUUCACUGAGGUGCUGGAUCACAAUGAAUGUCUUAUCAUCACAGGUACUGAACAGUACAGUGAAUACACAGGCUAUGCUGAAACAUACCGUUGGGCCCGGAGCCAUGAAGAUAGGAGUGAAAGGGAUGACUGGCAGCGGCGCGGCUCUGAAAUCGUCGCCAUCGACGCCCUUCACUUCAGACGCCACCUCGACCAGUUUGUGCCUGAGAAAAUCAGACGUGAGCUUAACAAGGCCAGUAACCUCGUUUCUUAGUUUAUCUGGCAGCUGUCAUCUAUUUACUGCCAUUUUAUUAAUGCUGAAAUUAAUGCUUUCUGGUAAUUCUUGCAGUGUCAGUCCGUCUGCCCACAGCUCUCCUGAUUUAAUGGGUCUGUCAGCUUGUACAGGAUGUACUUUCCAUUUUGUAAUUGUUUGAUUACUGAUGCCAGAUAGGCUGUUGCUUGAUAUUAAGCCCUCACAUGCAUUUAUCUCAUCAAGUACAUUUAGCUGCUUUGGAACAUUAUCAUUGUAAAACCAUAUAGAUGUGAGUGAACUGUGAAAGUUUUUUUCAGACCUGCCCAAUGACAUUUUCUCUACAAGGUAUGCUGUCAGGAUUAAAACAGAUAAACCCAUGAAAGUCAAGUCACUAUUGUUCUAGUACAGGCAUGUUUGGAGAAUUUGACAGGAAAGCAAGUGGCAAAUUUAUGUCUAUUCUGACAGAAAGUCUGUUCAUUCCCUUGUUGGCAUAAAGGCGGAGACUAUAUCUUUCAAGAAACUGCUCAAAAAAUUGAGCUCUUUGAUAGCUUUGACCUGAAAGAGAUUUUCAGAAGCUCUAUGCAUCUGAUUAUACAGGUAAUUUGUGAGUUCUAGUGUAAGCUCUGUGCCACAGCAUUGAAUAAUGGUUUGGUACCAACUUAUAAUUAAUAUCUGUCAGGAUUUACAGCCUAGGAGGGGGUGGAAGGAACAGCCUUGUUAAUCCAUCCAGACAGUACGUAAAAUAAAUUUUUAUACCUUUGUAGCAACUUCAGAGAGCAAUUUACGGUAUUUCUCCGUGUGGGUUUCAUAGAAGCAUCUUUCUUUAUCCUUAGUUUUUUCUCUGGGAACAUUUGUCACACAUCAUUCUUUUAAUUUUAUUUACUGUUAUACAUAAGCUAUAUUUUAGGCUUUGUUGGGUACUUGAGAAAGCCCAGGGGAGAUCUGCUUUGCUAUUGUAUUAAACCUCUUAAUAUAGUCUGAUAGUUUCAGAAAACUAAGAACCCUUAGGAGACAGAAAGACCAACUAGUCUGACAGCAAAGAAAUGGAAAUCAGAAACUCUGGGACCUUAAACUGCAGUCUUCUCAUAUAUAAAAUGAGCUGUUCAUUUAAUUAAUACUUAGCCAGCAUCCUCAGGAUAUAUUGUGCUUUUCUCAGGUUACUGGCAAAUUUUAAAAUAUUGCAGCUUAAAACAGCUGUGAAACUAGAGAAUCUUGGAGCUGGAAGGGUUAUUAAAGGUUAUCUUGUAACCAGGUAUAGGAGUCCCUUUUAAAUAUGGUUGGUCAUUUUAUAUUAUAUAGUUGUUUAAGCAUUUCAGUGGCAGGAAGCACAUUUAAAAGCUAAUCACAGUUAUUAACCUAGUCCUAGCAAAUCAGAGAGAGUGCUGAGGAAGGAUUAUACUAGUAACUCUUUAAUGAAAAAAUAGUAAUCAAAAGUUUUCAGAUGCCUUAAAUGGCUUCAGUGUCUUCAAUGCCUUUCUAUCCUUCAGUCCCCUUGUAGUUUGUGAUUGGGAUCCCAUUAGUUUUUGAAAUAUCUCUGAUAUUUUCAUUUAUAAUUUUUUGAAUUGGAAAAAGAAACUGAGACCUGUAUUGGUUUAAAGGCUUUGAUUUUCCCAGCAUCAAAGCAAAUAAAUAUUAGAACUCAUCAUGUCUUACUUUCUUCCCUGUGUAAUCCUAGGAUUUUCUCUUUUUCCACUCUACUUUGACCCCUAGGGAAAAAAAAAGGAGAGAUCACAUAAGCUUGAUAAUGGUUACUGAUCCUAGUACAUCAGUCAGAAAUACU